GACGAACGCUGGCGGCGUGCUUAACACAUGCAAGUCGAACGGAAAGGCCCUGCUUUUGUGGGGUGCUCGAGUGGCGAACGGGUGAGUAACACGUGAGUAACCUGCCCUUGACUUUGGGAUAACUUCAGGAAACUGGGGCUAAUACCGGAUAGGAGCUCCUGCUGCAUGGUGGGGGUUGGAAAGUUUCGGCGGUUGGGGAUGGACUCGCGGCUUAUCAGCUUGUUGGUGGGGUAGUGGCUUACCAAGGCUUUGACGGGUAGCCGGCCUGAGAGGGUGACCGGCCACAUUGGGACUGAGAUACGGCCCAGACUCCUACGGGAGGCAGCAGUGGGGAAUAUUGCACAAUGGGCGGAAGCCUGAUGCAGAAACGUCGCGUGCGGGAUGACGGCCUUCGGGUUGUAAACCGCUUUCGCCUGUGACGAAGCGUGAGUGACGGUAAUGGGUAAAGAAGCACCGGCUAACUACGUG
RNAcentral lists this ribosomal RNA (468 nucleotides) under uncultured bacterium. Its description in RNAcentral is "partial 16S ribosomal RNA". It matches the Rfam family "Bacterial small subunit ribosomal RNA", at positions 28 to 507 of the family's 1533-position model. The record is from RNAcentral.